CCUACGGGAGGCUGCAGUGAGGACUAUUGGUCAAUGGCCGGAAGGCUGAACCAGCCAUGCCGCGUGAAGGUCAGUGCCCUAUGGGCGUUAAACUUCUUUUGUGCGGGAGCAAUAAUGGUCACGUGUGGCCAGACGAGAGUACCGUACGAAGCAGCAUCGGCUAACUCCGUGCCAGCAGCGGCGGUAAUACGGGGGAUGCAAGCGUUAUCCGGAUUUAUCGGGUGUAAAGGGUGCGUAGGCUGUGAGGUAAGUCAGCGGUGAAAUGCCCCCGCUCAACGGGGUGAAGUGCCAUUGAUACUGCCGUGCUGGAAUGCGGAUGCCGUGGGAGGAAUGUGUGGUGUAGCGGUGAAAUGCAUAGAUAUCACACAGAACACCGAUUGCGAAGGCAUCUCACGAAUCCGCGAUUGACGCUGAUGCACGAAAGCGUGGGUAUCAAACAGGAUUAGAUACCCUUGUAGUC
Molecule: ribosomal RNA, 460 nt
Filed under: uncultured bacterium
Lineage: Bacteria
Description: partial 16S ribosomal RNA
Rfam family: Bacterial small subunit ribosomal RNA
Source: RNAcentral